UACGUAGGGGGCAAGCGUUGUCCGGAAUCAUUGGGCGUAAAGCGCGCGUAGGCGGCCCGGUAAGUCCGUUGUGAAAGUCAAAGGCUCAACCUUUGAACGCCGAUGGAUACUGCCGGGCUAGAGUCCGGAAGAGGCGAGUGGAAUUCCUGGUGUAGCGGUGGAAUGCGCAGAUAUCAGGAGGAACACCGGUGGCGAAGGCGGUUCUCUGGACGGCAACUGACGCUGAGGCACGAAAGCGUGGGGAGCAAACAGG
RNAcentral lists this ribosomal RNA (253 nucleotides) under uncultured bacterium. RNAcentral's name for it is "partial 16S ribosomal RNA". It matches the Rfam family "Bacterial small subunit ribosomal RNA", at positions 524 to 776 of the family's 1533-position model. The record is from RNAcentral.